CAGUCGCCACGGUAAUACGUAGGUGGCAAGCGUUGUCCGGAAUUAUUGGGCGUAAAGGGCUCGCAGGCGGUUUCUUAAGUCUGAUGUGAAAGCCCCCGGCUCAACCGGGGAGGGUCAUUGGAAACUGGGAAACUUGAGUGCAGAAGAGGAGAGUGGAAUUCCACGUGUAGCGGUGAAAUGCGUAGAGAUGUGGAGGAGCACCAGUGGCGAAGGCGACUCUCUGGUCUGUAACUGACGCUGAGGAGCGAAAGCGUGAGGAGCGAACAGGAUUAGAGACCCCUGUAGUCCCUGUCUCUUAUAC
RNAcentral lists this ribosomal RNA (301 nucleotides) under uncultured bacterium. RNAcentral's name for it is "partial 16S ribosomal RNA". It matches the Rfam family "Bacterial small subunit ribosomal RNA", at positions 509 to 807 of the family's 1533-position model. The record is from RNAcentral.